Molecule: ribosomal RNA, 484 nt
Filed under: uncultured bacterium
Lineage: Bacteria
Description: partial 16S ribosomal RNA
Rfam family: Bacterial small subunit ribosomal RNA
Source: RNAcentral
AUUGAACGCUGGCGGCAGGCCUAACACAUGCAAGUCGAGCGGAUGAAGGGAGCUUGCUCCUGGAUUCAGCGGCGGACGGGUGAGUAAUGCCUAGGAAUCUGCCUGGUAGUGGGGGAUAACGUCCGGAAACGGGCGCUAAUACCGCAUACGUCCUGAGGGAGCAAGUGGGGGAUCUUCGGACCUCACGCUAUCAGAUGAGCCUAGGUCGGAUUAGCUAGUUGGUGGGGUAAAGGCCUACCAAGGCGACGAUCCGUAACUGGUCUGAGAGGAUGAUCAGUCACACUGGAACUGAGACACGGUCCAGACUCCUACGGGAGGCAGCAGUGGGGAAUAUUGGACAAUGGGCGAAAGCCUGAUCCAGCCAUGCCACGUGUGUGAAGAAGGUCUUCGGAUUGUAAAGCACUUUAAGUUGGGAGGAAGGGCAGUAAGUUAAUACCUUGCUGUUUUGACGUUACCAACAGAAUAAGCACCGGCUAACUUCGUG